This 246-nucleotide ribosomal RNA is filed under the name uncultured Prevotella sp. RNAcentral's name for it is "partial 16S ribosomal RNA". It matches the Rfam family "Bacterial small subunit ribosomal RNA", at positions 282 to 524 of the family's 1533-position model. The record is from RNAcentral. Lineage: Bacteria; Pseudomonadati; Bacteroidota; Bacteroidia; Bacteroidales; Prevotellaceae.
AGUAGGGGUUCUGAGAGGAAGGUCCCCCACAUUGGAACUGAGACACGGUCCAAACUCCUACGGGAGGCAGCAGUGAGGAAUAUUGGUCAAUGGGGCGAGGGCCUGAACCAGCCAAGUAGCGUGCAGGAUGACGGCCCUAUGGGUUGUAAACUGCUUUUAUAUGGGAAUAAAGUGAGGGACGUGUCCCUUAUUGCAUGUACCAUACGAAUAAGGACCGGCUAAUUCCGUGCCAGCAGCCGCGGUAAU